UACGGGGGGGGCAAGCGUUGUUCGGAAUUACUGGGCGUAAAGGGCUCGUAGGCGGCCAACUAAGUCAGACGUGAAAUCCCCAGGCUCAACCUGGGAACUGCGUCUGAUACUGGAUGGCUUGAAUCCGGGAGAGGGAUGCAGAAUUCCAGGUGUAGCGGUGAAAUGCGUAGAUAUCUGGAGGAAUACCGGUGGCGAAGGCGGCAUCCUGGACCAACACUGACGCUGAGGAGCGAAAGCCAGGGGAGCAAACGGG
This 253-nucleotide ribosomal RNA is filed under the name uncultured bacterium. Its description in RNAcentral is "partial 16S ribosomal RNA". It matches the Rfam family "Bacterial small subunit ribosomal RNA", at positions 524 to 776 of the family's 1533-position model. The record is from RNAcentral.